RNAcentral lists this long non-coding RNA (1209 nucleotides) under Brassica napus (rape). RNAcentral describes it as "long non-coding RNA (BNAP_LNC005095)". The record is from RNAcentral. Lineage: Eukaryota; Viridiplantae; Streptophyta; Magnoliopsida; Brassicales; Brassicaceae.
GAGAUUUGUAGAGGUAAGGAUGGUGUGGGGGAGAGUAGUGGUGGACUGGAGGAGGAGGUGACUUAUAUACGUACUUUUUCUUAGGUGGUGGUGGGGAAUGAUAAACCGGAGGAGGAGAGUAGUGCUUAACCGGAGGAGGAGGGGAUUUGUAGACGUAGUGCUUCUUUGGUGGUGGUGGAGAAUGGUAAACCGGUGGUGGAGAAUAGUGUUUAACUGGAGGAGGAGGGGAUUUGUACACGUAAUGUUUCUUUGGUGGUGGUGGGGAAUGGUAAACCGGAGGGGGAGAGUAGUGUUUCACUGGAGGAGGAGGAGAUUUGUAGACGUAGUGUUUCUUUGGUGGGGGUGGGGAAUGGUAAACUGGAGGAGGGGAGUAGUGCUUAACCGGGGGAGGAGGGGAUUUGUACACGUAGUGUUUCUUUGGUGGUGGUGGAGAGUGGUAAACUGGAGGUGGAGAAUAGUGCUUAACUGGAGGAGGAGGUGAUUUGUACACGUAGUGUUUCUUUGGUGGUGGUGGAGAGUGGUAAACCGGGGGAGGAGAGUAGUGUUUAACCGGUGGUGGAGGAGAUUUGUAGACAUAAUGCUUUUUAGGUGGGGGUGGGGAAUGGUAAACUGGAGGUGGUGAGUAGUGUUUAACCGGAGGAGGAGGAGAUUUGUAUACGUAAUGUUUUUUGGGUGGUGGUGGUGAAUGGUAGACUGGUGGGGGAGAGUAGUGCUUAACAGGUGGGGGUGGAGAUUUGUACACAUAGUGCUUCUUGGGUGGUGGUGGAGAAUGGUAAACAGGAGGAGGAGAAUAGUGUUUAACCGGAGGAGGAGGGGAUUUGUACACAUAGUGCUUCUUUGGUGGUGGUGGAGAAUGGUAAACCGGUGGUGGAGAGUAGUGCUUAACCGGAGGAGGAGGGGAUUUGUACACGUAGUCCUUUUUUGGUGGUGGUGGAGAGUGAUAAACCGGUGGUGGAGAAUAGUGCUUGACCGGAGGAGGAGGGGAUUUGUAUUCGUAGUGUUUUUUAGGUGGUGGUGGAGAAUGGUAAACUGGAGAGGGAGAGUAAUGCUUAACAGGAGGAGGUGGAGAUUUGUAUUGGUAGUGUUUAACCGGAGGUGGAGGAGAAGAGUAGAAAUAGUUAGCGGUUGAUUGAGAUACGAAGGUGAGAGAGAUUGUCAAGACAAGCAAAGUUGCUACUAAAGAGGCCACUGGAGACCCCAUUGAUUGUU